GCGACCGGCGCACGGGUGAGUAACGCGUAUGCAACUUACCUAUCAGAGGGGGAUAGCCCGGCGAAAGUCGGAUUAAUACCCCAUAAAACAGGGGUCCCGCAUGGGAAUAUUUGUUAAAGAUUCAUCGCUGAUAGAUAGGCAUGCGUUCCAUUAGGCAGUUGGCGGGGUAACGGCCCACCAAACCGACGAUGGAUAGGGGUUCUGAGAGGAAGGUCCCCCACAUUGGUACUGAGACACGGACCAAACUCCUACGGGAGGCAGCAGUGAGGAAUAUUGGUCAAUGGCCGAGAGGCUGAACAAGCCAAGUCGCGUGAAGGAAGAAGGAUCUAUGGUUUGUAAACUUCUUUUAUAGGGGAAUAAAGUGGAGGACGUGUCCUUUUUUGUAUGUACCCUAUGAAUAAGCAUCGGCUAACUCCGUGCCAGCAGCCGCGGUAAUACGGAGGAUGCGAGCGUUAUCCGGAUUUAUUGGGUUUAAAGGGUGCGUAGGUGGUGAUUUAAGUCAGCGGUGAAAGUUUGUGGCUCAACCAUAAAAUUGCCGUUGAAACUGGGUUACUUGAGUGUGUUUGAGGUAGGCGGAAUGCGUGGUGUAGCGGUGAAAUGCAUAGAUAUCACGCAGAACUCCGAUUGCGAAGGCAGCUUACUAAACCAUAACUGACACUGAAGCACGAAAGCGUGGGGAUCAAACAGGAUUAGAUACCCUGGUAGUCCACGCAGUAAACGAUGAUUACUA
This 730-nucleotide ribosomal RNA is filed under the name uncultured bacterium. RNAcentral describes it as "bacterial SSU rRNA". It matches the Rfam family "Bacterial small subunit ribosomal RNA", at positions 91 to 818 of the family's 1533-position model. The record is from RNAcentral.